CGGAGGAUCCAAGCGUUAUCCGGAAUCAUUGGGUUUAAAGGGUCCGUAGGCGGUCCUGUAAGUCAGUGGUGAAAGCCCAUCGCUCAACGGUGGAACGGCCAUUGAUACUGCAGGACUUGAAUUACUGGGAAGCAACUAGAAUAUGUAGUGUAGCGGUGAAAUGCUUAGAGAUUACAUGGAAUACCAAUUGCGGAGGCAGGUUGCUACCGGUGGAUUGACGCUGAUGGACGAAAGCGUGGGUAGCGAACAGGAUUAGAUACCCUGGUAGUCCACGCCGUAAACGAUGGAUACUAGCUGUUGGGAGCGAUCUCAGUGGCUAAGCGAAAGUGAUAAGUAUCCCACCUGGGGAGUACGAACGCAAGUUUG
Molecule: ribosomal RNA, 366 nt
Filed under: uncultured organism
Description: bacterial SSU rRNA
Rfam family: Bacterial small subunit ribosomal RNA
Source: RNAcentral